Morone saxatilis (striped sea-bass) is the source of this 702-nucleotide long non-coding RNA. RefSeq lists it as uncharacterized. The transcript has 3 exons. Lineage: Eukaryota; Metazoa; Chordata; Actinopteri; Moronidae. The record is from RefSeq and is a predicted model, not a curated record.
AGGAGGAGGAAGAGGAGGAGGAGGAGGAGGAGGUGGGUUAGUGGCACGCUGGGUGUGUUCAAGAAAGUCUUAUUCUUGGAGACACGAACAGUCUUAUUUUUUAGUUAUAUUAAGUAUUAAAAAAAUGCAACUUUUGUGCAUUUUAGAUAAAUCUAGUCGGUUUAGGUAACUAACUGGCUCUUUCUUCUCUUUUGAGCAUGAUUUUAAACCAGGUUUUGUACAGUAACGUUAGCUGAAUCGUGCCACCGACCUGUCCGGUAAUUAGGUCAGCUGAAGAAAAGGUUCCAGUGAAAGUAGCAGAGUGGACCUGGAUGUGCAUGGUCUACUGGAGUGAAAGCCAGUUCAGGUGAACGACAUCUACCUUAAGCUCUCAACUGGUUUGUCUUUGUUCUAAGUUGUUCAUUGCCAAAUAAAUACAAAUUGUGAAGCAAAGUUUGUUUUUGUGUUGUUUUUUUUAAUGGAUGGUGGAAUAUCAUUGGGCGAAAUGAGGUUUUACAACAUCUUGUUGUUGUUUGUUGUUGUUAUCACUAGACUUUACCUGCUCAUUACAGGUGUACUGGAAUCACAUAUUUAUAGUCACAGCAGUAGAAAGCAAUUGCAUUUACUCAAAUACUAAAUAAAUAUAUAGAGGUACUACAAUACUCUUACUAUUCAGAAGGAAAUAUUGCACUUACUCAAUAUCAAUCUGUAUAACAACCAGCA